CCCGGGAUCUUGGUGCCUGAGGCGCUGGGCCUUGGCAACUGGGUGAAGGCGCAGGAGUGGGCGGCCGUCCCCGGCGGGCAGGCCACAUACCUGGGCAACCCGGUGCCGUGGGGCACGCUGCCCACCAUCCUGGUGAUCGAAUUCGUGGCCAUCGCCUUCGCCGAGCACCAGCGCACCAUGGAGAAGGACCCCGAGAAGAAGAAGUACCCCGGCGGCGCCUUCGACCCGCUCGGCUUCUCCAAGGACCCCGUCAAGUUCGAGGAGUACAAGCUCAAGGAGAUCAAGAACGGUGAGUCUCCUGGUUUUGUGUACUAUAUGAUCUCGUUGUUGUAGUGACAGCCUCCCACUCCAUUGAUCAUACGCUAACCACUGGGCAUCGUCUAAACGAUUGUGCAUGAUGAUGAGCAGGCCGGCUUGCGAUGUUGGCGUUCGUGGGGUUCUGCGUGCAGCAGUCGGCGUACCCCGGCACCGGGCCGCUGGAGAACCUGGCUACCCACCUCGCCGACCCGUGGCACAACAACAUCGGCGACAUCAUCAUCCCCAGAACGAUCUACCCUUGAGCUGAGAUGAUUGUGAGAGAAGAGGAUGAGACGAGACAGGAGAUGGGGCUGUGCUGGGAGUGUGGAUGAUGUUCUAUGUGUGUGAUUGGUUGGUUACUGGGCACUGCCUGCGUGCGUGCAGGAACUGUACAACGAACAACGACGGCGACUUUCCGGCCGGCCGGGAACCCCUUAUAAUGUAAAGCUUAUUAUUAUUAAGUAGCGGCUACCCUUA
RNAcentral lists this long non-coding RNA (774 nucleotides) under Setaria viridis. Its description in RNAcentral is "long non-coding RNA (SVIR_LNC004269)". Lineage: Eukaryota; Viridiplantae; Streptophyta; Magnoliopsida; Poales; Poaceae. The record is from RNAcentral.